RNAcentral lists this long non-coding RNA (578 nucleotides) under Marmota monax (woodchuck). Lineage: Eukaryota; Metazoa; Chordata; Mammalia; Rodentia; Sciuridae. The record is from RNAcentral.
GUCUGUAAUGAGCUGAAGUUGGAACUCCUAAGGAGAGUAAAAGAAUUUUUUAGGUACAAGAAAACAAAAAAAGAGGAAUUAAACCUUUUGAGAGAAACCUGAUAUCUCCCCCUAAACCCCCUCCUCCCUCCCCUUGACCCUUCCUCUUCCCUAUGGCCUCCCUUGUAGUUUAAUGGCAUCCUUUUCUAGUUUCUAUGUUCAAUUAUCUCAGUAAAUCUUAACAAAGCUAUUUGUGUGUGUGUGUGUAUGUGGAUCUAAAAUCCCCAUUUUACAGAUGAGGAAAGUAAGGUUUACUUUUGUAUAUCUGGUCAAUAGCAGAGCUGAAAUUUGUACUUCAAACUUCUGAUGUCCAUUAUCCACCCUCCACCAGUUUUCUCAGCUCCACUCGACUUGCAUGCACCUUUACAUCUGUGCUUUUAUGACUUUUGUAAACUUUCAAAGCUGCCAUGGAUUUUUAGUGGCAUGAAAAGACUUGGAAGUUAUGAGAGGUUACUAUUCUGGGAAUAGCAAAGAAAUGACAUUAUACAGGGCAUCCACAUUGAAAACUCUAAGGAUCUCUGAAUUUUAACAAUAACAAA